Long non-coding RNA from Harpia harpyja (harpy eagle), 1520 nucleotides. RefSeq lists it as uncharacterized. Lineage: Eukaryota; Metazoa; Chordata; Aves; Accipitriformes; Accipitridae. The transcript has 4 exons. The record is from RefSeq and is a predicted model, not a curated record.
GCCGGUGCAGAACUGUACUGUUUUAGGACACCUGACAACCUCACCAUGUUGGUUAUUAUUUUCUGGCAGAGAAUUUCUGUUCCUUACCUGACACAUGCUGCUAGCCUGGAUGUCUGUGACCCUAAAGUGGAGAGCUACUGGACAGAAGCAUCUGGGGUGACAAAAACCACAGUCCUUGCUUGGAGGACUGCAAUGGUUCAGAGAGCUGAUGUGUAGAUGUGGCUGGGAGCUCUAGCUAUAUGAAGGAUCCCAAGUCUCAGGGGCCACUAGGCACUAAGUGCUGGAAUUCUGCUCAAAGGAAGCAAACCAGAUGGGAAGAGAAGAGAAAUCCCCACCUGCCAAGUGUCUCAUCAUUAUACAUGGCAAGUCUGUGCAUAUUGUGGAUGACUGGAGUAAUCAUCUGCAUGGAAGUCUCCUGAGGAAAACUCGUUAUUUCACUUCAUGUCUCAACAGGAUACAACUGGUUCAUGGUUGCACAUAGAGACUUAUUUUGGAUGUUUCCAAAGGCUGUUCUAUACCUUAUAAAUCUUAAUAUAGUUGUAAUGCUUGAUAAAUACUGCAUUUAGAUUUGAGCAUAAGAUUUGUUUCCCAAUUUGUAUGAACGGUAAAGAAAUACUCUGACCGCUUGACCACAUAUCUGGUCUUACAAUUUUCUGUGAUACAUUUGUAUUGCAUGCUGAGCAAAAUGUGACUUUUAAGAUGAAAGCAUGGUUUGAUUUUCAUACAAGAGUGACAACGACAGAUAGAAAGGGAUACAGAAAUGUCAAUCUUUAGAAUAUAGUGAGAACAGGCUACAUUUGUAUUAUUUCCUGUGCUUAAGUUUCAUUACAGUAAUUUUCCCAAUGAAUACAUUGCAUAGUAUGCUAUUUCCUCUUCUCAUUACCAUCUUUGUCAUGGAGAGGAGGUUAUAGAAUCUUAAUGAUUCAGUUAUUUAAACCUUUCUGAUAGUCUCUGUAUUUUGAAUGACCUCUCUGUUUCACCUCUUCCCUAAGGUUACUGAACGUGAGAAUAGGAGUUGCUUUCAAAUCAAAUUACUCAACAAGGAAAAGGGCAAGGUAGUUCAGAUCAUUAUUAUCACAAUUACAGAGAUUACAGCAAGGAUGAGGAAAAAAAAAAAAAGAAAAAGCACAAUCUGAAUCUUCACUAGCUUUCCACUACAAAGCAGAGCAAACAAUAGUAAUUAUUGUAUGUGAGUCUAAUGCAAAGCUCACUGGAAGUCACAGAUCCCCACAUACCAGUGCUAAGAGAUUGUCCAGGCUUCAGACACUAUCAAAUCAGAUGUAGUUCUGGAUUUGGGGUGAAAAAUCACAGUCCAAACCAUGGAUAAUCACUGACACUGUGAUCUUUAAAAGUUUUGCCAUCUUGAAAAACGUACAAAUGUGAUUGGUCAUGUCCCUUUGAAAUAUUUCAGGAACGAUAAUUUAUGAGACUUUUUAUUCAAAUGAGAGGAGAAGAACAGAUCCCUCUACAUUAGGAUCCAAGGUGCUGGCCAGUGACACGGAUUGAAAUGGGCUGCAGAC